RNAcentral lists this ribosomal RNA (253 nucleotides) under uncultured bacterium. Its description in RNAcentral is "partial 16S ribosomal RNA". It matches the Rfam family "Bacterial small subunit ribosomal RNA", at positions 524 to 776 of the family's 1533-position model. The record is from RNAcentral.
UACGUAGGGUGCAAGCGUUGUCCGGAAUUAUUGGGCGUAAAGAGCUCGUAGGCGGUCUGUCGCGUCGGCUGUGAAAUCCCGAGGCUCAACCUCGGGUCUGCAGUCGAUACGGGCAAACUUGAGUGUUGCAGGGGAGACUGGAAUUCCUGGUGUAGCGGUGAAAUGCGCAGAUAUCAGGAGGAACACCGGUGGCGAAGGCGGGUCUCUGGGCAACAACUGACGCUGAGGAGCGAAAGCUAGGGGAGCAAACAGG